This 225-nucleotide unclassified non-coding RNA is filed under the name Hevea brasiliensis (rubber tree). The record is from RNAcentral. Lineage: Eukaryota; Viridiplantae; Streptophyta; Magnoliopsida; Malpighiales; Euphorbiaceae.
GCAAGAUUAAUCAGGUAAAGAUAAGAGCUCUUAAUUUUCAUCAAUUAGUAUCCGAUUUCAUUUCAAAGUAUUUUGAAUUUAAUAGGUUGAUGUGAUGAGUGUGCCCAUAAAAUCAUUUAGAGAAUAAUAUUUUGCUAGUUCCUAACGUGCCUCUCAUUGGUCUCCACCUUCCUAUUGGUUCUUUUAAAAUAAACACUGAUGCUUCAGUGUCUCAAGCAAGCAAUU